This 1350-nucleotide long non-coding RNA is filed under the name Homo sapiens (human). RNAcentral's name for it is "HSALNT0240014". The record is from RNAcentral. Lineage: Eukaryota; Metazoa; Chordata; Mammalia; Primates; Hominidae.
CAGGCUCACAUACCAGGGUGUCCAACCCAUGCCCAACCAGGAAAAAAGAAGGAGAUUGAAGGAGAAAAAGGGAGAGAGAUGGUCACCAAGCUGAAGGCAGAUGAAGAAGUGAGAGAGAGCAAAGUGCCUUCUUGCUGGGAGCCUCCCUUGUGUCUGGAAUGAUCAGAAAUCGGGGAGAAAUGGUACAGCCUUCAGCAGACGAAAUUGAGCAGUUGUGCUGUGAGGCAGGCUGUGGUACUUAAAUGCAAUAGCUGAUCUAAUCACCAGUCUCGUUCUCUGGGAAGCUUUUUGCUGCAUUUUAGCACAGAAAAGUGUUGUCUUUCUCUCUUUUGUGGCUCGAGCUGCUAUUUAAGAAAGCAAAAAAAAAAAAAUCAAUAUGCCUUCUCAGGCUUUCAUUCUUUUUCCCCCAAAAGGUGUUUCUUUGGGGAGGGGGAAAAGGUAGAGGGGGGAGUCGAGGAGCGUUUUUGUCAUUCAUAAGCCAUGGUGACAAAUCCUUGACAUCAUUCGCGGUUCCUAUCGAUCAGCUCCGUCCGCGGCACCAGAGGACAAAUAGAAAUCAUUUGUCUGUCUUGGCUCCCAAACAACCUGAGACAAAGGGCUCGGCCAGCAAUCAGCAGCUGGAGGUAUUAGCAGCGGGUCAAGUUCGGAGAUCAGAGGUCAAACAGGUUGUCAUCAGUUUCUCACAGCUAUCAGAGCAAGGGCAGGGGAGGGGCAGAAUAAAACCCACCAACAACACAGCUGGUUCUUAUUAGCCAAAUCCUGCCAACCCUGCCUCCCUGCAAAGAAAGAUGGGCCACUGCCCCCCCAGGGACGCCCUGGGAUGCAGGAUUUCAUGGGUUGGCGGCAGGGGUGUGAGAGGCCAAGGAAGAAAAGAAGCAAGAUCUGAGCUCUGCCUCUUGCUGUGUGUCCUGAGCACCCUCCCAAGGGAAGCUCUGAGUUAUUCUGUCCUGGGCCGUGAAAAAGAGAGAGAAAGAGGAGAGAGAGAGAGACAGAGAGGAGAAAGAGAGAGAGAGAGACAGAGAGGGGAAAGAGAGAGAGAGAGACAGAGAGAGACAGAGAGAGACAGAGACCGGGACCUCAGGUUUCUCUGGGAGUCCUAGCAAGCAAGUUAAUCUUGUAUAAUUGGAAGUGGCUUAAAUGGCCUGGGAAACAGGGGAUGCAGCCAGGGUACAGUUGAGUCAUGUUAAGUCCCUGAUUACACAUCACCUGUUUUGGUUUCUCCUCCCACCCUCGAGAUGAGACCCAAUUCUUAGGACAAUUAAUCUAGACAAAGAUAUGGAAGGAUGAGGGUGGCAUAUCCAGCCCCCGUGGAGUGACACGUACGGCGGGUGACUGGGGAGUGAGGAGAAG